GAAAAACCUAAGUUAUUUACACUAAAGUCAGGUUCCUCUAAAAGACUGUGGGAACAUUCAUUCUCCACUCUCUCAGGCUCUUUUAGGUCUCUAAAGCUGACAAUGGUCUGUAGGUCAAGUUCCAACGGAAGUGAUAUUUCUGACCUAGCUCUAAAAAUAGAGCACUGGAAAAAAAAAAUCCAUCAGCUGCAAAUGGUCUGGGGACCACACGCUACCUAAGAAUUCCUUUUCCUAAGCACUGCCCUGAUAUUCUUUAUUUGCCACAAAGAGAAUUGGAGCAAGAAGACAUUUAGUAAAAUCAACAUUUGUUUGCUGGAGAAGCAACCCCCGCAACCAGAAUAAUAACCUUGGAAAGAGUUUUGGGUGAUGGGCUGAUUACAGUGACUAGAUAUAAAGGACUGACUGUGCAGCCGCCAGAAAGAAACACAUUUUUGUAAUAUCUCAGUUGUUUCCAUUGGCCUGGCCUCCCUUGCAUUCACCAUGGGAACUGAGUCAACAAGUUUGCUUGCUUUUCUUUCAGUGAUUACAGUGCAUUCUUUCUCCCUCCCCCCCAACCCCCAGAGGAAUUCUUAAAAAAAAAAAAAAGUAAAGAAAAGAAAAGAUAUCUUUUGGAAGUUAAAGGCAUGCUGAUCAAGGAAAAAAAAAAAAAAGAGGAGGGGGGUCUAAUUUUUGUCUCCAAGACUAGCCGCAAAGCAACUAGUGCAAGCUUUAUUCUGUCUGCUUUCACUGAGGACCUCAGCCUGACCUUGAGGAGCUUUCUUUCUGGGAAGUUAAGGAAUUUCCAGGAUUAGCUCAAGUCCUAAGGCUGCCAACUGUGACAAUCUACAAAAGGUCUCUUAGGUAAUGAUUCAGAUCCCACUUUUGCUCAAGGCCAAGAUAGUCCCCAGUGAAUUGAAAAUAGUUUCAUUUCCUGGACUUAGACCAGGAUCGAGACUAUACAAUGAACUAGACAGGUUAUAACUGACCCCGGAAGGAUUUCAGAAGGGCAGACUCAGCACUGCUGCCUAGGAAAGAUUCAACAACUGAUAUUAUCCAUGACAACAGAAAGGUGAUUGCAUUUGAGAAGUGAGGUUAAGAAAUGAUCUGAAACAAAUUUUAAAAAGAAUACCACUUAGAAGGGUGGGGAGGAUUGGAAGAAGGGAAAAGUCAUGAACUGAGAGCAACUGAUUUCCAUCACUGGCUUUUGGAGGAAGGCAUCUAUCUUCUGAACAGCUCCUGAACUGGACUUCUGAGUUUUCCAGCUUAAUGCCAAGUUUCCAGUGCUGGUCAGCCACCAAGUUACAGAUGGUACCAUGAUGCCAACCUGACUUCCCUGGGCAGACAAACCCACGAUGUGUCUUGAAGCCCCUCCUCCCCAGAUCCCUGCCCCACUGGGGAAAGAGAGAGACAGACUGGAAGUAUGUAUUGAACUGUCAACGUCCAUGUUCAGUGGAGAAUUAAUUACAGAAGCCAGAUCUUCCGCCUUCUGUACCCCACAAUGAUCCUGGGUCCAUACUCCUUGAGGAAUAAAGAAUAGGGAAGCUAUUAAGGGAGGGGAUUGGAUACGGAGUUCUGGUGGUGGGAAUUGUGUGGAAAUAUACCCUUCUUAUCCUACAGUCUUGUCAAUAUUUCCAUUUUAUAAAUAAAAUUUAAAAAAUUAAUACUACCAAUACUA
Molecule: long non-coding RNA, 1654 nt
Organism: Erinaceus europaeus (western European hedgehog)
Lineage: Eukaryota; Metazoa; Chordata; Mammalia; Eulipotyphla; Erinaceidae
Exons: 4
Source: RefSeq, a predicted model, not a curated record